GGGUCGACCACUACACUUAAAAACGCUUAAAUAAUUUAAAAGCCCAUACUAUUAUACUAGUAUAAUAAUAAUAUAUAUAUAUAUAUAUGUAUGUACACGCACUCGGUAUUAAAUUGUACGUAAAUUCACGUAUUGUACGCAGAUAGAAUCGCGCGCUAAACGAAUAAAUAACGGCAGUGCUCGAAUUAGAAAAAAGCGGUGCUAUCGAGCUUUAAAAAAAAUAAGCAUCCCCUCAAAUUAUGGAUUAAUGCUGUAAAAUAUAAUUAGUGUGGGAGCCGUAAAAAUGUUUAAAAAUAGUAGUGGAACUCCGUCCCCCUGUGCACCCCAUCCCCUCAUUUCAAGCACUGAAUAUCGGGUGCUACGAGUAAUUGUUGAUCGUUUGAGCUAAACGUUUCGAAGCAUAAUAAUUGAAAAUAUUC
Non-coding RNA from Cinara cedri, 419 nucleotides. Lineage: Eukaryota; Metazoa; Arthropoda; Insecta; Hemiptera; Aphididae. The record is from the annotation of a GenBank genome assembly.